AUUGAACGCUGGCGGCAGGCCUAACACAUGCAAGUCGAACGGUAACAGGAAGAAGCUUGCUUCUUUGCUGACGAGUGGCGGACGGGUGAGUAAUGUCUGGGAAACUGCCUGAUGGAGGGGGAUAACUACUGGAAACGGUAGCUAAUACCGCAUAACGUCGCAAGACCAAAGAGGGGGACCUUCGGGCCUCUUGCCAUCGGAUGUGCCCAGAUGGGAUUAGCUAGUAGGUGGGGUAACGGUUCACCUAGGCGACGAUCCCUAGCUGGUCUGAGAGGAUGACCAGCCACACUGGAACUGAGACACGGUCCAGACUCCUACGGGAGGCAGCAGUGGGGAAUAUUGCACAAUGGGCGCAAGCCUGAUGCAGCCAUGCCGCGUGUAUGAAGAAGGCCUUCGGGUUGUAAAGUACUUUCAGCGGGGAGGAAGGGAGUAAAGUUAAUACCUUUGCUCAUUGACGUUACCCGCAGAAGAAGCACCGGCUAACUCCGUG
RNAcentral lists this ribosomal RNA (490 nucleotides) under uncultured bacterium. Its description in RNAcentral is "partial 16S ribosomal RNA". It matches the Rfam family "Bacterial small subunit ribosomal RNA", at positions 30 to 507 of the family's 1533-position model. The record is from RNAcentral.